RNAcentral lists this ribosomal RNA (468 nucleotides) under uncultured bacterium. RNAcentral describes it as "partial 16S ribosomal RNA". It matches the Rfam family "Bacterial small subunit ribosomal RNA", at positions 28 to 507 of the family's 1533-position model. The record is from RNAcentral.
GACGAACGCUGGCGGCGUGCUUAACACAUGCAAGUCGAACGGAAAGGCCCUGCUUUUGUGGGGUGCUCGAGUGGCGAACGGGUGAGUAACACGUGAGUAACCUGCCCUUGACUUUGGGAUAACUUCAGGAAACUGGGGCUAAUACCGGAUAGGAGCUCCUGCUGCAUGGUGGGGGUUGGAAAGUUUCGGCGGUUGGGGAUGGACUCGCGGCUUAUCAGCUUGUUGGUGGGGUAGUGGCUUACCAAGGCUUUGACGGGUAGCCGGCCUGAGAGGGUGACCGUCCACAUUGGGACUGAGAUACGGCCCAGACUCCUACGGGAGGCAGCAGUGGGGAAUAUUGCACUAUGGGCGGAAGCCUGAUGCAGCAACGCCGCGUGCGGGAUGACGGCCUUCGGGUUGUAAACCGCUUUCGCCUGUGACGAAGCGUGAGUGACGGUAAUGGGUAAAGAAGCACCGGCUAACUACGUG